GGGUCUGAGGGAAAUCUGGCUUAAGCUUCUGUCACUCCAUUGAUGGUCAGGCUGGGUUCUGCUGAUCUGGCUGGAUAGACACAGGUCCUUCUUUCUCACCACUCCAUUCAUGUCCAUCUCAAAGCUGCACUCUUGGUUGAAGAGGAUGACUAUCCCUGACAUUAAACAACCUUCCUUUGGUCACAGAUAUAUAAGUAGCUGUAGGCUCCUGCUAGAACCUCCAAACAAACUCCCAAGGUUAACUUAUAGCCAUGCCGAGCUAUCAGAAUAGUGUGUCAGCUCUGCUUCAUAGGGUUUCCUGUAUGA
Molecule: small nuclear RNA, 306 nt
Filed under: Echinops telfairi (small Madagascar hedgehog)
Lineage: Eukaryota; Metazoa; Chordata; Mammalia; Afrosoricida; Tenrecidae
Description: 7SK RNA (ENSETEG00000024807.1)
Rfam family: 7SK RNA
About the family: 7SK was discovered as an abundant small nuclear RNA in the mid-70s but a possible function has only recently been suggested. Two independent studies have found that 7SK RNA binds the CDK9/cyclin T complex (known as elongation factor P-TEFb). P-TEFb activates transcription by phosphorylating the C-terminal domain of RNA polymerase II.
Source: RNAcentral